GACGAACGCUGGCGGCGUGCUUAACACAUGCAAGUCGAACGGAAAGGCCCUGCUUUUGUGGGGUGCUCGAGUGGCGAACGGGUGAGUAACACGUGAGUAACCUGCCCUUGACUUUGGGAUAACUUCAGGAAACUGGGGCUAAUACCGGAUAGGAUCUCCUGCUGCAUGGUGGGGGUUGGAAAGUUUCGGCGGUUGGGGAUGGACUCGCGGCUUAUCAGCUUGUUGGUGGGGUAGUGGCUUACCAAGGCUUUGACGGGUAGCCGGCCUGAGAGGGUGACCGACCACAUUGGGACUGAGAUACGGCCCAGACUCCUACGGGAGGCAGCAGUGGGGAAUAUUGCACAAUGGGCGGAAGCCAGAUGCAGCAAAGCAGCGUGCGGGAUGACGGCCUUCGGGUUGUAAACCGAUUUCGCCUGUGACGAAGCGUGAGUGACGGUAAUGGGUAAAGAAGCACCGGCUAACUACGUG
Molecule: ribosomal RNA, 468 nt
Filed under: uncultured bacterium
Lineage: Bacteria
Description: partial 16S ribosomal RNA
Rfam family: Bacterial small subunit ribosomal RNA
Source: RNAcentral